This 301-nucleotide ribosomal RNA is filed under the name uncultured bacterium. RNAcentral's name for it is "partial 16S ribosomal RNA". It matches the Rfam family "Bacterial small subunit ribosomal RNA", at positions 509 to 809 of the family's 1533-position model. The record is from RNAcentral.
CAGUAGCCACGGUAAUACGGAGGGAGCUAGCGUUGUUCGGAAUUACUGGGCGUAAAGCGCACGUAGGCGGCUCUGUAAGUUAGAGGUGAAAGCCUGGGGCUCAACUCCAGAAUUGCCUUUGAAACUGCAUCGCUUGAACACGGGAGAGGUGAGUGGAAUUCCGAGUGUAGAGGUGAAAUUCGUAGAUAUUCGGAAGAACACCAGUGGCGAAGGCGGCUCACUGGACCGUUGUUGACGCUGAGGUGCGAAAGCGUGGGGAGCAAACAGGAUUAGAUACCCCUGUAGUCCCUGUCUCUUAUAA